Protopterus annectens (West African lungfish) is the source of this 6406-nucleotide long non-coding RNA. RefSeq lists it as uncharacterized. The record is from RefSeq and is a predicted model, not a curated record. Lineage: Eukaryota; Metazoa; Chordata; Ceratodontiformes; Protopteridae. The transcript is spliced from 2 exons.
AGAGCUGAUAUACAAAGAAGUUCUUGAAUGGGAAGAAAAGACAAAGAAUGGUGUCAUUAGAGGACAGCCACCACCUUUAGCACAGGUGCAGCAGUGAUUAAUGGCUCUCAGAACCCAUCAUCAUCAUCACCAUCUGUCAACGAUGUGUCCUCCAUGUCCACAGAUCCGACAUUGGCCUCUGACACAGACAGCAGUCUAGAGACAUCAGCUGGACCACUGGGUUGUUGCAGAUGACUAUUGGCCUCCUUUGGUUCUGUUGUUCAUGCCCGAUGGAGCAGCCUGUAGACAACCUUUUCAGCAAAGAAAGCUGUUCAUUUUUCCAGAGCUAAUUUUACAGACUUUCCAGUUAGGACUUUUUCAUUUAAUUUCGAAUGCUGCUGUAAAGUCUGAAAUGCUUUAUAAUGUUGUGGAAGUUCCUUCAGUUUGUAAUUUAUGCAGCUGUUCUGCUGCUUAUUUUAUUUUUAACUUUUUUCCAGGACUGGAGCCGUUUGUUUCUGUACUUGUAAGUAAUACACUUAUCUUGGAUAAGUUAGUAGUAUGUUUUGCAGUUUAUAAAAAGAAAGAAACUGCCAACACCAAAUAUGCAACUGGUGUUUCCUUUAAAAGGAAUAUGUAUUCCAGUGGAUAGUCUGGUACACUAAACUGAAAUAUGAAGUGCUCUUUUUGUAUGUUGCUUAAUUGUGGCUUUUUGUUUAUAUUGCUACAUUAAGCUGUUUCCCACUUCCAGCAGUCACUGCAGUAGUCUAAAUGAGACUGCACGGUUUAGGAACUGCAGUUUCAUAAGAGGUGGUGCCAACACUAUCUUGGAUGGAACUUGAGACAGUCCAAUCUUGCUUAACUGAACUUUGUGUAGCAGCAGAGUAGUAUAUACCAACAAAGUGUGUGAACUCUUGAGUACUGAACUUUCUCCAUUUGCUAAGCCUUGUUAGUAGACUGGAAACAAGUUUGUAUAGAGCAUUCCUUUAAACUUAGUUCCAUUGUUAAAAUAUUUUACAGUACCCUAAGAAAUGUGGUUAGGAACUGAUGUCCCCACAGUACCGGAUGUCAUGAAAUAGAUGAUGCAUCAAACCAGGAGGUCACGUCUGUUUACCAAAACUGCUGAGUCAGUAUGCCUGCAUGCAACUCUUCUUAAUUUAAAAAAAAAUACAACUUGCACUAAAACAUGCGAAGUAAUCGGCCUUUCUUGAAAGUGGCAAGUUGCUUAAAUUGACUAGCAGUGCAGAUUUUUUUCUUUUGCACUUAUGUCCACUGCCUGCCAAGCCAGAUUCAGCCCUGUCAUGAUUGAUUGGCCUAUUUUGAUCCCCUUUGGGGGUGAGUGUCAGUCAGAGGAACCAGCCAGGCAGCUGUCACUGGUUUUCCUUGUGUGGCCGUAGCCUUCCUCAUCAGUAGCGUGACAUAUAUACUUGCCUAGGCAAGGCUUACUGUGCUUUCACUGGUUUCUUCAUUGCUUGAGACAUUAGUCUGUGGUUGCCUGGGUCACAAUCAGUGUGUCACUCCUCUUUCCCAAGGAAUUUAGUCUGGCAAUGUAAGUUUUUGAAUGAAAAUGAUGUAGUAAACCCCAUGUGUGCUACAUCUUGUAAACCACGGUUUGAUUCCUAUUCGUUACUUUUGUACUGCAGAGUUGAUCAGAGCUUCAUCUUUCCUGGAGAGCUGCUUUACAUGACUGUGUGCAUCUGGUGUAUGAUUAGUGUCACAUUUAAGCACAGUUUGUUUGCUGCAUGUCCUUCAUCCCACAAGCCAGCUAUUUGCAAAUGUUAAGUUUUUCCCAUAACCAUGUGCAAAGUCCAUGGUUCAACUAUUUUCCUGUUCUUGUCUGCAUCCUAGUCUGCAGUCUCAACACACCAUUUUGGCUUUCUUUGACAUUUAUUUCCUUUUACAAUUCUCAUAGCAAGUGAUGCCUCACGUGACCCAUGGCACUAGGUUCUGUUACUGAACAUUAUUCACCAAAAUAGUGGCCAUCAUAGUCAACACUGGCAUGAAGCUUGGCACUCAUAACUAAGUGGUAUGGUGGUACUGGGUAUUCUUGAAACAGAAGGUGUACUAAACACUUGUUUUGGCCUUUGUUUCUUGCUGGAAAAAAUUGACCUUAAAUUCAUUUUGAAGAGUUUGUACCCAACAACAGUCAGGCAGUGAAAAAAAAUCUGCUGGAAACAUCUUCAGAAAUGCAGAAGAAAAAGCUGUAACCCUAGAUAUUUUCAUUCUAAAUCACUGGAGAGAGGAUCAUGACAAAAUUAAGUUGCUCUGUUGUGGGGGACAGACAUUGUAGGAAGAGACAGCUUUAGCAGGAAAAAAAUUGCGUCUGUGAAAGCCCCAGUGACCUUUUGGGGCAGAGCAGUUUGGGUAAUAACACUGACCUUUUGAUGACCCAUCUGGACAAUAGUUGUCCAUGAAUUUACAAUAAUGGAAAUGAGACCGUAUGAUGUGUUAUGUUAGCAGUUCUGUCAUGUUAUGCCAUUUAGCUGUGAGCGAUUUGUGAGUCUAACAUUAUUUAAGACCAAUCCAGUGAAUUGUAGAAAUGAAUUCUCCAGGGAAACCUUCAUUCUUCAGUCUUACAGAAUCAGUCGAUUAAUUCAUUGUCCAUAUCUACACAUAAUAUGGAAGAUUUCUAAUUGCAAGUUAAUAGCAAAUUUGGAGGUUUUUUAUAUCAUUUGAACAGUUCAGGAGUUUAACUGUCAUUAGAGAAGUAAUUUCUAUAUAGUAAAUGGAGCGCAGAUGCUUAUUGAUGAGCUCUGUAUAGUAAAUGGAGCGCAGAUGCUUACUGAUGAGCUCUGUAUAGUAAAUGCAGUGCAGAUGCUUACUGAUGAGCUCUGUAUAGUAAAUGCAGUGCAGAUGCUUACUGAUGAGCUCUGUAUAGUAAAUGAAGUGCAGAUGCUUACUGAUCAGCUCUGUGUGCAUACCUGUCAACUGUCCAUAUUCUCUCAGAGUUGCCAGAUUUGUCAUCCAUUUUUCAUAACAUUGGUCACUAAAAACAGACAUUUGAGUUUUCAUACUUCAUGCCCUUCAAGAAUCGAGUGCUAAUGCAAAACCUAUUAUUCUAGCAAGUUUCUCCAAGUCCAUAAGAGCAGUAUUUAAAAUGUGUCCCUGAUUUUGGGAAUUUGACCUUGCCGUUAUCUUUAUCUCUGUCUAGAUUUCUUGUAGUUAGAGGUUGAGAGGUAUGUCUACAUGUAACUGCUACAAAAAUGAUCAGUUUUCAACUGUUGGCAGACUGUUUGUUUUUUUUUUUUUUUUUUUUUUUUUUUUAGAACUGCUCUGUUUAUUUUACCUGGCUCAGUAGUAUUUUAAAACCCCAAAUUAAUUUUACAUUUUGAGGAUUGAGAUAGGAGUACUUUUAGUUCAUUGAGAUACUACACUUCUCUGUAAACUGUAUUGCUUUUUUUUUUUAUUUUGUUUUGUUUUUAUUCUUAAUCUGGAAAGUAGUUUGGAACAUUGGGCUAUGCAUUCUGAAUAAAAAAAAGUGGCAGACUGCACUGCUUUAACAUUUUUGGCAAAAAAAAAAAUCACAUGUGAAAAGCAAUAUCACUUUUACAAUGGACCAGCAUUUUUUCCUCGGAGCUGUACCUCGCAAGGACACAAGCAACAUCAACAGGAGUGGGAGAGUCUGUCAGUAACUUAUGAAUCUUAUUUUGGUCCAUUUCAUCCUGGUGUAAGUUAACAAUGUAGUUGCAUGGUUCAGUUCCCAGUUCAGUUCUGUUUUUAUUUCUUACAUUUGUAGUACGCGUUUCUUGCAUUUUCCAACCUUAAAAUAGUUUUGUUGUAUUCCAGGCUUAUGUUUUUUUUUCUUUCACAAAUAUAGUUCUCCCUCCUGUUUUUACAUUUUCCCUGUACUGCAGGCCAUUGUGUUAAUGAUUUACAUUUUCAAACCUUGUUAAAACAGUUUGUUAUAAAGAUUGGCAUUUAAUGUUGUAUGUUUUUGUCCUGAUGAUAACUUGAUUUGUGAUACUUGCAGCUGUCAGUUAAAGUCAUAAUAAGUGAAAAAGUAUGCUGAAGAAACAUGCAUUUCAGCUGGAAUGGUAUCUGUGGAAGAAUGAAAGGCUGACAAAGUGUAAGCAGAGGACCAAAAAGUAGGUGUUUGCCCAAGUCCCUUCCCCUCAUGUGUGCCAUCACCUUUAUUAGAGGAGUCGAAGACUUCCGUUACUUAACUAAAGCAUCCGAGUGUCUUGACUGUUGUGAUGUACCUUUGGUGUCGCACAUUCUGCUGAACUUAAAAAGAGCAUCUAAUUCUUUGCUGUGGAGUACUUUUUUCAUAACAUGUAGCUUAUGUGUCUGUCUGGGAAUGCAGUGUUGAUAGAAUUUUGUUCUGGCUUCGAUACUGAAACUUGGAGAGUGACAUUUAUUUUUAUGUAUGUAGAUAUGAAGAAGUAUCACCUUGAUGUCCUGAUCAGAGGUGAAGUAAGAUUUUUGUAUGACAAUAGAGGUUUAAUUUUCUGCGAUGUAAUUAUUCCUUAUAGGAAAACGUGAAUUACUGCUUAACUGGCUUUUUUUUAGUACUGUUGACUUUAUGGUUUUAGUUGAAGCAGUGUAUCAUCGUAUAUCAUUGCCUACCUAAAUUAAGCAGUGUAUCAUCUUAUAUCAUUGCCUGCCUAAAUUAUCUGCUUUAAUAGAGGUAGCCAGGAAAACAUCAUUGAGAAGAAGCUGGAUUUCUAGUUGUAGUGUUAAUCUUGCAUUCAGGUAUACUGUUUAUUGUAGCCAUUUGCAGUUUGUUGCCUCCAGCAUCUUUUUUACAUAAUUAGCAACUAUUUAUUCAGCAGAAAGUUGGGCAUCUUGUUGCUCACCAUCAUUUAACAUGCAUUCAUUCAUUUACAAAAGCACAUUACUUAGGUCUCUAAGAGUAAAAAAAAUAGCUAACCAAAUUAUUUUUCGGAGUAAUGUAUAGCUCAUCAGUUGUAGAGAUAAUAACUUAUAAGAGCAGACUUUCUGCCUAGGAAAUUGACGUCAUUUGUGGACAUGACAGUUUUGAGAUGCACAUUUUGAAAUUGAUUUUGCAUUGAUAAAUAUCACUUUUAACACGCACAAAAUGUCAUUAUAUUGAUUUAGACAGCUACUUUCUCUAUGAACAUAUUUAGUUGAGUUUUAGUAUGUACAAAAGGGUAUGCAACAGCAAAAGUGAAAAAUUUAAAUUACUAAGCUAUGCUGGCACAUCAGCAGUGAGUGUCUAGGGCAGCUGUAGGAAAACUGACUGAAACUGUGUCUGGAAUCAGGGGGUUUAAAAUGUUGAAAUGUAUGUAUAUAGACCUUUUUUAAUUUAAUAUUGCAGUAUUUGACCACCUUAGUGGUAGUAGGUCACUAGUUAUUUCUUUAUGGGAAUAAACUGUGGUGCUCUGAAUAGGAGAAAAUUCUGGAAACGGUAUGUAAACUGGGUUUAGCAAAAGAUGAAUUGUAACUUGAGUGUUUCCUGUAAUUUUAUUCUAAAUUCAAAACUGCAGUUUAAUUACAGUUCUUAGUUAAGUGCUCUUAAUAUAUUGAGGGUAAUGUCUUUAUUGACUUUUUUCUGCAUCAGUCAUUGUCUGUAACUCAUUGAUGCCGUAUGUUUUCCAUGACCUUUGCAUUUAGGUAGCUUUGCUUUGGCAUAUGCUUUACCGUUCACAGACGAUUUGUAAAGUUUUGAAGUAGGCCGUUAUGAACUACCUCGCACAAAAAUGUGUAAUUUCUUGACAUUAAAGCUGCCGUCACUACUCGUAGAGGCUGAAUGUGAAAAGAUGGCACAUGUUUAUUUUAAGUGCCCUGCAAUGACAGUCGUUUUGUUGUUGAGGGCAUUUUUAAUAUCUUUUUGUCUGUAUAAUAUAUAUUCCAUCUAGAAAGAUGUUAUGUAUACUUUUAUGUGCAAUAAUUUUAGCAGAUUGUAACUUUUGUGGUUGGUGAAGAUAUUUUUUUGAGGUACUUAUAAUUUGAUACUGUUAAAUUGAUUUGUUAAGCAGUCGUUUCUGCCCAUCUUGUGUGGUUUAACUAAUGUAACAGACUUUAUCAUCGCACAUUUUUGAAGGUUCUUAAAUUUGAUGUCUUACAUACCACAGAUCUUUGACAAAACUUGCUUUCUACUUAAGAUCACAUAGUAGUGUACUUUUGUAAUGGAAGUUCUUUUCUUCCUUUAAAUAAAGAGCACUGCUCUGGCAUGGUUUUCAUCUACUGUUUUAAAAUGAAGUAUUAAAAAUUCUGGCCAUCUGUUGUAACUGGUUUCUUCAGCAAAGAUGUGUCUUUUACUGAAGUUUCCAUAAAUAUUUAUGUAUUGUGUAUGGUUAUACAUUUUUUAAUUGGUGAGGUAGUGUGCCUCUUGUGCAAAUUGUUGAUUUAAUUUUGGGUAUGUCAAGCUGCCACAGCUCCAUUUAUCAUGCGCUUUUGGAAUAUGUACAUUAUUAUCCACAACUAUCAUCAAUAGCAGAAAAGUCCUGCAAAUAAACCAUAAACAUUU